GCAACGCGAAGAACCUUACCUGGUCUUGACAUCCCGGAGACCCUUAGGAACUAGGGGUGCUUCCAUCUGGAAGAAUCUGGAGACAGGUGCUGCAUGGCUGUCGUCAGCUCGUGUCGUGAGAUGUUGGGUUAAGUCCCGCAACGAGCGCAACCCUUGCCUUUAGUUGCCAGCAGUUCGGCUGGGCACUCUAAAGGGACUGCCGGUGUUAAACCGGAGGAAGGUGGGGAUGACGUCAAGUCCUCAUGGCCUUUAUGACCAGGGCUACACACGUACUACAAUGGCCGAUACAAAGGGCAGCGACACUGCGAGGUGAAGCCAAUCCCGUAAAAUCGGUCUCAGUCCGGAUUGGAGUCUGCAACUCGACUCCAUGAAGUUGGAAUCGCUAGUAAUCGUGGAUCAGCAUGCCACGGUGAACACGUUCCCGGGCCUU
This 430-nucleotide ribosomal RNA is filed under the name uncultured Desulfobulbus sp. RNAcentral describes it as "bacterial SSU rRNA". It matches the Rfam family "Bacterial small subunit ribosomal RNA", at positions 956 to 1382 of the family's 1533-position model. The record is from RNAcentral. Lineage: Bacteria; Pseudomonadati; Thermodesulfobacteriota; Desulfobulbia; Desulfobulbales; Desulfobulbaceae.